Non-coding RNA from Paramuricea clavata, 1989 nucleotides. The record is from the annotation of a GenBank genome assembly. NCBI's taxonomy places the organism in Eukaryota, Metazoa, Cnidaria, Anthozoa, Malacalcyonacea, Plexauridae.
UUCUGUGCACGGCUUAAAUGCCAAGCUUUCUAACGGGCUAACAACAGCAACAACGAAAUUCUCAAUCGUACCACGAAGAAGGCGAUGUAGCUCAGAAAACAACGUCAGUAGGACCUGAUAAAUAAGACUUUUGCCAAAGCCAGUUGGCGUAGAACAGCAAAGACAUUUUAGUUGUCAACAACAAGCUUUCUAAUACAUGACUAGUUUUGCUGUUCUUUCAGCGUCGUGUGUCCAAACUUCGUCAAAGAUUUUGAUAAAGCCCUUUCAAAAUACUGUUUGUUUGAUUUAUUUUCUGCCAUAAAGCACAAAAGAAAAGAAAUAUUGUUUAUGUGAACUUGCAACCAAUCAAAAUCUUUCAUGAUGCUGAUCAACCAAUCAGAUUUCCCGUCCGCCAGAUGGACGGGAAUCCCACGGUUUAGAUAGGUUUUGUGUCAGGCCCUAUUCUAAAUUAGGGCCUGAAUUUCAGGUUACUAUGCCUGCGUCUGCUGCAUGCAUGGCUAACACUAUAAAAGUAUCGGCUAUAGCCGGUACUUUUGUAGUGCUAGGCAUGCAGCAUAGUUUGGCAAGAAAAUGACCAGUUUGAUGUAUGGUGUAUCAUUGUCUCCUUUGGGAACUAAAAAGUAAAGGCGGCAAUCCUAUUGUCAUAUAGGAUACUAGUAAAAUAUUAAAAUUAGGUGUAUACCCAUUAUGCUGUUCGCAGCUAUAAAUUCUGGAAUGCAACAGGCUCUUCUGGUCUUUCACACGAGGUCGCGGGAUUGUCACUACCUCGAAUUCUUCAUCAAGUCAACCAAGAAUCAAUUGUAGAAGGUUUUUUUAUAUGGAAAUUUCGAAUGUAAAUUUCAUACAUUUAUUAAUCCUAACCACGAGCAGCUGCGAAAACUGCAACCAUGCAUCGGCUCUGUGGCCCCUAUCUAACCUGCGGUCCUGCGAUUUCGGUGCAGCGGCGGUGCUCUAACCAACUGAGCUACAGAGGCCAGUUGUCGAGCUCUAACCACAAGUUCAUGAUUGUAUAUAUAGGAGACCAAGGUGAUGCCAAUGUGAGAUGUAUGGGUAAAUAUUAGGAUUUGGGGCAUCUCACUCGAUAUAACUAAUUGUUGAAGGUUUUUGUAGAUGGAAAUUUUGGUGUAAAUUUCAUACCUGGAAACAUGCAACUGUAGGCCCUCUUGCAGGAGUCGAACCUGUGACCCUGCCCAUGCAUGCAUCUUACACUGGUAUCACGUUAGUAUGUAUACAUGAUAAACUUGCCGUUAGAACUCGACAACUGCAGUAUGAAUGCAGUUGGUUAGAGCGCUGCACUGAAAUCCUGUCAGUGGGCCUAAUAGUUGCAUUUUUCGCGACUGCUCCUCGUUAGGUCUAAUAAAUCUAUAAAAUUUCCGCUCGAAGUUUCCAUCUACAAGACCUUUCUAUACAAUUCGUUCUAUCGAGUGAGAUGCCCAAAAUGCUGAUAUUUAUCCAAGACGAAUCGACAGUUUCCGGUUCCUAGAAAUCAUGGAUAGGCUUACUGACAGGGUUGUGUGAAGUGUGCCAAACUGAAAUAUACUGAGGAAGUGGUGAUAGAGAGUAGAGCCGAAACUGCCCAUCUUUUAUUGGAAUAAAAGAACUUUCUGUUCCAAACACGAAUUAACCAGAGUAAUGAUCAAGCUACAUAUACGGUAUACAAGUAGCUAGCCUUUUUGUUCCUGUAAUUAACCAUGAAUUGCAAUCCCAAUGUUAAUUAUUUUAUGAUAUUUUAAAAAUCCUAACGAAACAUGACAGAUUGACAGACUGCUAAUUUCAAACAGCUAAAUUUGCGAGCUGUGUUUCUGUGACCUGCGAACAGUCUAAAUCAGUUUCGAUAUAUUGAGCGUUUGUCGCUGGGGUUGUUAUUAUACAGGCCUAUUCCGCUGUAUCUAUUUAAUUUACGGUUAUUUUCUUGUGAAAUAUCAGUGCUAGGCAUUUCACACUUACCAAUGACCACCCCUGAGCACCAUCUCUGAACCAUAUGAGCAC